CAAUAGCGUAUAUUUAAGUUGUUGCAGUUAAAAAGCUCGUAGUUGGAUUUCGGUUAAGAGCGACCGGUCCGCCGUUUGGUGUGCACUGGUUGGUUUUAACUUCCUGUAGAGGACGUGCUCUGGGUUUAACGACCUGGACUCGGAGUCUACGUGGUUACUUUGAAAAAAUUAGAGUGUUCAAAGCGGGCUUACGCUUGAAUAUUUCAGCAUGGAAUAACACUAUAGGACUCCUGUCCUAUUUCGUUGGUCUCGGGACGGGAGUAAUGAUUAAGAGGAACAGUUGGGGGCAGUCGUAUUUCAUUGUCAGAGGUGAAAUUCUUGGAUUUAUGAAAGACGAACUUCUGCGAAAGCAUUUGCCAAGGAUGUUUUCAUUAA
RNAcentral lists this ribosomal RNA (375 nucleotides) under uncultured eukaryote. RNAcentral describes it as "partial 18S ribosomal RNA". It matches the Rfam family "Eukaryotic small subunit ribosomal RNA", at positions 592 to 976 of the family's 1831-position model. The record is from RNAcentral.